ACAAUGGUUACAAACCUCUCACCAAAGGCUGGUGGGGUGAAGCCACAUGUGUGGACGGUGUUUGGUCUGGAGUUGAAAGCUGUAUCGAGGAACAAACGUGUGGAGAAGCUCCUGUGAUUCCUAAUGGGGAAGGGACUCUAGGGAGUACUGAACGACACGGACAGUCCCAAGAAAUUAUAUCGAUUGUUUGCAAUGAAGGAUACUCUGCUAAGAUUGAGGAAUUAACCUGUCGUGACGGAUGAUGGGAUUUAAAUGGAUCACUUGAUGAUAUCUGUAGAUCUAAUCAUGAUAACUGCAGGCCUCCGCCCAAAGUUGAGAAUGCUGUUAUUACAACUCCUUAUCAGAAGCAAUACCCAUCUGGCUCUGAAGUAACUUAUCAGUGCUUUGACAAUUACAUUACGGAAGGAAAAGCUACAAUUAACUGCAUAGCUGGGGAAUGGAAGGAGCUCACCAUUAA
This is a long non-coding RNA of Oreochromis niloticus (Nile tilapia), 457 nucleotides long. RefSeq lists it as uncharacterized. The transcript is spliced from 3 exons. The record is from RefSeq and is a predicted model, not a curated record. Lineage: Eukaryota; Metazoa; Chordata; Actinopteri; Cichliformes; Cichlidae.